This 73-nucleotide transfer RNA is filed under the name Bos taurus (domestic cattle). It matches the Rfam family "tRNA". Rfam says of the family: Transfer RNA (tRNA) molecules are approximately 80 nucleotides in length. Their secondary structure includes four short double-helical elements and three loops (D, anti-codon, and T loops). Further hydrogen bonds mediate the characteristic L-shaped molecular structure. tRNAs have two regions of fundamental functional importance: the anti-codon, which is responsible for specific mRNA codon recognition, and the 3' end, to which the tRNAs corresponding amino acid is attached (by aminoacyl-tRNA synthetases). tRNAs cope with the degeneracy of the genetic code in two manners: having more than one tRNA (with a specific anti-codon) for a particular amino acid; and 'wobble' base-pairing, i.e. permitting non-standard base-pairing at the 3rd anti-codon position. Lineage: Eukaryota; Metazoa; Chordata; Mammalia; Artiodactyla; Bovidae. RNAcentral also lists the same sequence under 2 other names. The record is from Rfam by way of RNAcentral.
UCCUUGGUGAUCUAGUGGCUAAGACUCUGUGCUCCCAAUGCAGGAGGCCCAGGUUUGAUCCCUGGUCAGGGAA